GGGGAUGUGGCUCAGUGGUAGAGCACUUGCCUAGCAUGCACAAGGCCCUAGGUUUCAUCCCUA
RNAcentral lists this transfer RNA (63 nucleotides) under Urocitellus parryii (Arctic ground squirrel). Its description in RNAcentral is "Spermophilus parryii (Arctic ground squirrel) tRNA". It matches the Rfam family "tRNA", at positions 1 to 62 of the family's 71-position model. Rfam says of the family: Transfer RNA (tRNA) molecules are approximately 80 nucleotides in length. RNAcentral also lists the same sequence under 1 other name. The record is from Rfam by way of RNAcentral. Lineage: Eukaryota; Metazoa; Chordata; Mammalia; Rodentia; Sciuridae.